Molecule: ribosomal RNA, 465 nt
Filed under: uncultured bacterium
Lineage: Bacteria
Description: bacterial SSU rRNA
Rfam family: Bacterial small subunit ribosomal RNA
Source: RNAcentral
ACUCCUACGGGAGGCAGCAGUGGGGAAUAUUGCACAAUGGGCGCAAGCCUGAUGCAGCCAUGCCGCGUGUAUGAAGAAGGCCUUCGGGUUGUAAAGUACUUUCAGCAGUGAGGAAGGCGGGUACGUUAAUAGCGUGCUUGUUUGACGUUAGCUGCAGAAGAAGCACCGGCUAACUCCGUGCCAGCAGCCGCGGUAAUACGGAGGGUGCGAGCGUUAAUCGGAAUUACUGGGCGUAAAGCGCAUGCAGGUGGUUUGUUAAGUCAGAUGUGAAAGCCCGGGGCUCAACCUCGGAAUUGCAUUUGAAACUGGCAGACUAGAGUACUGUAGAGGGGGGUAGAAUUUCAGGUGUAGCGGUGAAAUGCGUAGAGAUCUGAAGGAAUACCGGUGGCGAAGGCGGCCCCCUGGACAGAUACUGACACUCAGAUGCGAAAGCGUGGGGAGCAAACAGGAUUAGAUACCCUGGUA